AAACUUUCAACAACGGAUCUCUUGGUUCUCGCAUCGAUGAAGAACGCAGCGAAAUGCGAUAAGUAGUGUGAAUUGCAGAAUUCAGUGAAUCAUCGAAUCUUUGAACGCACAUUGCGCCUCCCGGAAUCCCGGGAGGCAUGCCUGUCCGAGCGUUACU
RNAcentral lists this ribosomal RNA (157 nucleotides) under Phillipsia crispata. RNAcentral describes it as "5.8S rRNA". It matches the Rfam family "5.8S ribosomal RNA". From Rfam's summary of the family: 5.8S ribosomal RNA (5.8S rRNA) is a component of the large subunit of the eukaryotic ribosome. It is transcribed by RNA polymerase I as part of the 45S precursor that also contains 18S and 28S rRNA. Lineage: Eukaryota; Fungi; Ascomycota; Pezizomycetes; Pezizales; Sarcoscyphaceae. The record is from RNAcentral.